Molecule: ribosomal RNA, 400 nt
Filed under: uncultured bacterium
Lineage: Bacteria
Description: bacterial SSU rRNA
Rfam family: Bacterial small subunit ribosomal RNA
Source: RNAcentral
GAUGAACGCUAGCGGCAGGCUUAACACAUGCAAGUCGUGGGGCAGCGCGGACUUCGGUCUGGCGGCGACCGGCAAACGGGUGCGGAACACGUACGCAACCUCCCUCAGAGCGGGGAAUAGCCUCUCGAAAGAGAGAUUAAUACCCCAUAGUAUCUUGAAGACACAUGUCUAUGAGAUUAAAGCUUCGGCACUUUGAGAUGGGCGUGCGGCUGAUUAGGUAGUUGGCAGGGUAACGGCCUACCAAGCCGACGAUCAGUAGCUGAUGUGAGAGCAUGAUCAGCCACACGGGCACUGAGACACGGGCCCGACUCCUACGGGAGGCAGCAGUGAGGAAUAUUGGUCAAUGGAGGAAACUCUGAACCAGACCAUAGCCGCGUGGAGGAUGAAGGUCCUCUGGAUU